RNA transcript from Aegilops tauschii subsp. strangulata, 4706 nucleotides. RefSeq lists it as uncharacterized. Lineage: Eukaryota; Viridiplantae; Streptophyta; Magnoliopsida; Poales; Poaceae. The record is from RefSeq and is a predicted model, not a curated record.
AAAACGCCCGCACCCCUCGCACCUCUCUCUCCCAGCCAUUCUUUCAUUCUCCCCUCCCAGUUAGGGUUCCCGCCGCCGCCGCUCGUGCUUCACCUCCCGUCCCAAGCUCCACCUAUCAUCCAGCGUCCCGAUCUACUCGAUUUCAAUCUCAGGAGCGCACGGGAGGCGAGGUGCCCGUUGCCGGGACAGGGGCCAUGUGGAGGCUCAGCCCUUGGAUCCCUCCGUUUCGCGGGCCAGGGCGCCCAUCCGCGCCGCGCCGCCGCCGGCAUAGAGGCCCGGGCUCGGGUAGCCGCCACGGUGCCGGGUGCGCCAACGAGGUCUUUAGGGACCGCGUGGUGGGCGUGACCUCUCCCGGCUCCCCGCCCUCGCCUGCGACGACGAGUAGCAGGUCACGCUGCUCCUGCAGUCCCAGCUCAUGGUCGUGCUGGACAAGCCCCACCACGUGCCUUGGAUUCGGUCGUGGCGUGGGCUGGGAACCGUGCGGUGUUGUCUGAUGCGUUGUACGCGGUACGCACCGGGAGGUUUGGUUGGUCGAAGCCAGUAUGAGUAGCUCUUGAGGCUGAUGGAUGGAUGGAUGUGUGCACGCCUGUAUGUGUGUAUGGAUGUCAGGGUCAUGUUGCUUGGUGGGCAAAGGCGGGGGGUAGAACCUCCUUUUGCUUGGCGGGCAAAGGCUGAUGGAUGGGUGGAUGUGUGCACGCCUGACGCCUGUAUGUAUGUAUGUAUGAAUAUCAGGCUCAUGUUGCUUGGUGGGCAAAGGCCGGGGGUAGAACCUCCUUUUCGGUAAAAAAAAAAGGGGGGACGAUGAUGAUGACUCUGGCUGAAAUAAGCAUGUCUUGAGCAAUCAAGACUGUUGUGGCCUGUGGGUACUAAAUUAGAGAGCUCACCCUUACCUCUCUUGCAGCCUGUUCAAUUCAUCGGUAAUGUUCGAUGUUCUGCUCCUCGGAUGGUCACUCUGAUGAGCGAUAACCAGGGCAGUUCGUUUACAUUGCGAUGGAUAUAUUAUGCAGCAUGAGAUGUGAGUGUUGGGCUUGAAGAUCGAAGACAAAACUGAGCCCUCUUUUGCUAUGCUACAAAUACACAAAUUUUCCUUAUUUACUGUACAGUGUUCUUCUUUCUGUUCUAUUUCUCUAUUGUGUUGAUGUGAGUGAAGAUCCACCUGGACUUGGGAUUUAUGUCUUCUUUUGGUGAUGAACUCAACUACCCUAAGCCUACUUGGAUUGAUUUAUAAUUGGGUUUGUUUUGCCUUUCUAGUUGUAUAUACUAUAUGUAUUACACGAUUGUCCUUUUUCUCCACUGCCUGUAGCUAUUGGCAGUUUUAUUCAUGUGGUUAACAAGAUACCGUCGUCCUGUUUGUCUUGUUAGUAAGCAUGUUACUUCGAUCCUCCACGGGAUUGCAAAGAGUUGUCAUUAAAACAGAUUGCCAAAUUGUGCUAUCUAUUUUGGUCAGAGCAGGCCCUUUGUUAUGAUCCUCUUUGCUAUUUAGUUCACUGGUCAUCAAUCUCUUUUUAAGCUGCUGCUGUUAAUAUUAACUGCCACAUUGGUUAUUAGAAUCACAUGAUGCAUUAGUGCAGUACAGAUCCCUCACAUGUUGCUUAAAAUGAGAGUGUCAAGUAAAUUUAUCAGCUGGAAAGUUUUUUGGGUUAAAAAUGUCUUUAUAUUUUGUCUAAUCAUGAAUGAAAGUCCUCUUGGAGCUUUUGCUUGGGCCAUUUGGGAUCUGUAUGUUGGCCAUUGUCCCCCCUUCACAUUAUAUGUUUUAAAAUUUAUUUAGUGGUCUUGCUUUGGUUUUUGUAGGCGACCUCAAUCGCCACCACGAGAGGAGCAGGGGUGGAGGCUGCUCUUGGGUACGAGAGGAGCACAGCAGGGAAUUGUUCAGAGGGUAGGCCAAGGGACGCCGAGUCGAGUCAGCCGUCAGAGCGAACACGUUCAUGGCUUUCUGUGAUUUUCCUGGCUGAUUUGGGUGUGAAUCGCGCGUUCGUCCUGUAAAACACGGCGCCGCAGAGGCUUACCCGCACCCAGACGUCGACCUCAAGAAGCUGCGCCAGCUCAUCCUCGAGGUCCGACGACCCCAGGCCUGACCUCGAUGAGUGCCCAAUCUGCUUCCCGUUCUAUCCGAGCCUUAGUUGGUCAAGUGCUGCCCAACUGAAACAUGAAUUGAGUGAUGACACUAUAGAUUUCACUGGCCACGUGCUUGCUCUUUACAGGAACGAUAGCUACCUAAGCGAGCUACCACUUGAUAUACUGUUAAAAGAAUGGAAGUAUGCCUUAACUGAAGAUUUUAGCUUUAUCUUUCCCUCAUCCUUGAACUUGUUGAUUUUGUAAGGUUUUUGUGGAUCGUGCUGAUCGUUCUGGGGCAUUGGAGUGGGCCAACUACCUGACGACAGGCAAGAUCGAGGUGCUGUCCGUGUAGUGGUUGCUCGGCCGCGACCAUGGGGUGAGGCUCCUUUUCUUUUUAUUUUUGUGAUCGUUUGAUUGUUCAGAAGAUAGGUUAGAUUUUUUGUGGCAUAUCAUUAUGUUUUGUCUGUUUGUGUAUUCCUUUUCCUAUUUUAUUAUUGGCUGUGUGACGAGAAGUCAGAGCGACAAAUCUGAAGCGACUCCUCCCUGGUAAGUUCCAUGUACUGGGAUUUUACUUAUUGAUUUUUUUCUCUAAAUGGUAGAAUGAUACUUCUUCUGAUAUUGUAUUCUAGAACAAUCCUAUGUUUUGUUCUUGUUACUAUAGAAGUGCAUCCCCCUUUUAUUCUGAUAGCAAGAUGCUCUUUAUUUUCAAUGCAAAUAAAUGAUUACUGGAGCCCAUGUAUAUUGUACAGCAAUGCAGUAUGUGGUGUUAUUUUUCAUUUUUUAUAGAUAGUGGUAAAAAUGAAAUCUGAUCCAAAGUAUGUGGUGUACAAUUCAUGGAAAACCUUACUGGGUUGAUAACAAUUAAAUUUGAUUUAGUACUACCUGAAGAGUUCUUUAUUUGUGCUUUAUAAAGUCAGAUUAAUUUUCAUUUUUUAGUUGUAUGCUUUGUAGAUCAGUAUACUGACGAAUGGUGCCUCGGCGUUUUAGUUUAUUAUCUGGUCUUUCACACCCAUUAACAGUGAACUCAUUUGAAGGUUGGAGAGUCUACCCCGGAAUCAUUUGAGAUCGUCGCACGAGUUUCUUCUGAAGCUGUGAGAUCUGGGACGGUGGAUACAUUGAGCUUGAGGAGAAGAUCAGCCACUUCAUCCACGAUGACGCACUCAUCCACUAGGUACUGAUCUUGGUGUCGAUUCCUACCUCUAGCUUCUGUUGACACAACUUCAGUUGGUCACAUGUUUCUUGGUUGUUCAAGUAUGCUUGGUGGUUCUUCGUUGAGGGUUGAGAUGGACCAUGCACUGGGUACACUCUUUGAUGAUUUUGUCGGCAUCCAACUGUUCUCGAAUUGGUUAUCUUCUCUUAUCUCUCCAUGUGCUUCAUCUUCUCUUAUCUCUCCAUGUGCUUCUUAAUUUUCUUGUGCAAUGAAUGCUGAAUUUAGACAGCAGUGAUUUGUUUGUGCAGUCCAUGCUUUGACAUUGAAAAUGUGAAGAUGGAAUUAUGUGGUUUGGACCGUGAUGGUGGUUGAUUAAUUUUUAUUCUGGGCAUUACAUUAUUAAUAUGAACUAUAGUUACAAUUGUUGAACUACACUAUUUUGUCUGCUAAAUUCUGGGCAUUGGGUCCAAUCUAUAUAUAGCUAAUAAGAUGAUUAUUUAAUUUUUCCAUUGGACGUGGAAUUUACCAUAUGUGGCUACUUUCAGGUUAGUAAGUUUUGUUCUUCAUUAUAGCAUGGACUCUUGUUUCUCAGUAGUAUAUGCUUAAUUUGCUCUUACUGGAGACAAAAAAUUCCCUCAAACUGCAAGGAAUGAUGUAAUAUAAGAGGAGAAUUAGAUCUGUCUCACACCUCACCUUCAAUAAUAAGAUAAGUGGUGGAUUUUUAUGGGAAUUUUCUGGAGAAAAUAUUAGGUGGGGAUUUGAAAUUGGAAAUGAAAAGGGUGUGGAAUGCCAAGUGAUGUCUCUGUUUGUUAUAAGCUGCCUUGUCAUACUAAAUGCAUGUUUUCUCCUGUUGUAAUACACAUAUUGAUCUUCUACUUUUCUGAUCAAACUGGGAAUCAUACUAUUCUUUUUUUGUCCAGUACACCCCACUAAUUAGAAAACCAGAAAUGUUGGCUACAAUUCCAACGGGCCAGGCCAGGUGGGCCCAGUCGCCACUCAACAAGGCGGCCGCCGCUGCCGCUGCCGCUCCCAGGCCGACAGCUACAGCUACACACAGGCCCAGCAGGCGGGCCAUGCCGCCACUACGUGAGGUGGCAGGACUGUAGCUGGUGCAUGCGCUCCGACAGCCUCGGCUGUUGCAGACGACGCUGAUUGCUGCGGCCAAAGACGCUGAUUGCUGCGGCCAACGGGACAGAUUCCCACGCGCGGGAAUCCGAUGCCUUGGUUUGCUUUCUGCCACAAGUUACGAUGCUCUGGAAUCAGAUUCCCGCCUAAACUUUGACGUCUUGUGUACUGAUUCAUACACAGACGACACUGAUUAAAGUACUGCAUGAUUAAAACAGGGAAGAGGCUCGUCGUGUGGAGGAGUAGGAACGACAGCGAAAGGAGGCUCGUGAGGCAGAGAGACAGAGAAAAAAAGAAAGGGCUCGUGAGGCCAAGGAUGUAUCUAAUUUCAGUUGUACCGUGUCGUAAAGAAAAAAAAUAUAGUUUUGGCAUAAAA